AUUGAACGCUGGCGGCAUGCCUUACACAUGCAAGUCGAACGGCAGCACGGGAGCAAUCCUGGUGGCGAGUGGCGAACGGGUGAGUAAUAUAUCGGAACGUGCCCAGUCGUGGGGAUAACGUAGCGAAAGCUACGCUAAUACCGCAUACGAUCUACGGAUGAAAGCGGGGGAUCGCAAGACCUCGCGCGAUUGGAGCGGCCGAUAUCAGAUUAGGUAGUUGGUGAGGUAAAGGCUCACCAAGCCGACGAUCUGUAGCUGGUCUGAGAGGACGACCAGCCACACUGGGACUGAGACACGGCCCAGACUCCUACGGGAGGCAGCAGUGGGGAAUAUUGGACAAUGGGCGAAAGCCUGAUCCAGCAAUGCCGCGUGAGUGAUGAAGGCCUUAGGGUUGUAAAGCGUCUUUUACCCGUAGAUGAUAAUGACAGUAUCGGGAGAAUAAGCUCCGGCUAACUCCGUGCCAGCAGCCGCGG
This 473-nucleotide ribosomal RNA is filed under the name uncultured bacterium. RNAcentral describes it as "bacterial SSU rRNA". It matches the Rfam family "Bacterial small subunit ribosomal RNA", at positions 30 to 520 of the family's 1533-position model. The record is from RNAcentral.